CGGAGGAAAAGAAACCAACCGGGAUUGCCUUAGUAACGGCGAGUGAAGCGGCAAAAGCUCAAAUUUGAAAUCUGGCGUCUUCGACGUCCGAGUUGUAAUUUGAAGAAGGCAACUUUGUAGCUGGUCCUUGUCUAUGUUCCUUGGAACAGGACGUCAUAGAGGGUGAGAAUCCCGUGUGGCGAGGAUCCCAGUUAUUUGUAAAGUGCUUUCGACGAGUCGAGUUGUUUGGGAAUGCAGCUCUAAGUGGGUGGUAAAUUCCAUCUAAAGCUAAAUAUUGGCGAGAGACCGAUAGCGAACAAGUACAGUGAUGGAAAGAUGAAAAGAACUUUGAAAAGAGAGUGAAAAAGUACGUGAAAUUGUUGAAAGGGAAGGGCAUUUGAUCAGACAUGGCGUUUGCUUCGGCUUUCGCUGGGCCAGCAUCAGUUUUAGCGGUUGGAUAAAUCCUCGGGAAUGUGGCUCUGCUUCGGUAGAGUGUUAUAGCCCGUGGGAAUACAGCCAGCUGGGACUGAGGAUUGCGACUUUUGUCAAGGAUGCUGGCGUAAUGGUUAAAUGCCGCCCGUCUUGAACCACGGACC
This 575-nucleotide ribosomal RNA is filed under the name Kluyveromyces lactis. RNAcentral describes it as "partial large subunit ribosomal RNA". It matches the Rfam family "Eukaryotic large subunit ribosomal RNA", at positions 51 to 667 of the family's 3401-position model. Lineage: Eukaryota; Fungi; Ascomycota; Saccharomycetes; Saccharomycetales; Saccharomycetaceae. The record is from RNAcentral.